RNAcentral lists this ribosomal RNA (523 nucleotides) under uncultured bacterium. RNAcentral describes it as "bacterial SSU rRNA". It matches the Rfam family "Bacterial small subunit ribosomal RNA", at positions 355 to 896 of the family's 1533-position model. The record is from RNAcentral.
UGGGGAAUCUUGCACAAUGGACGAAAGUCUGAUGCAGCGACGCCGCGUGAGCGAUGAAGCCCUUCGGGGUGUAAAGCUCUUUCGACGGGAACGAUAAUGACGGUACCCGGAGAAGAAGCUGCGGCUAACUACGUGCCAGCAGCCGCGGUAAUACGUAGGGUGCAAGCGUUAAUCGGAAUUACUGGGCGUAAAGCGUGCGCAGGCGGUUUUGUAAGUCUGAUGUGAAAUCCCCGGGCCCAACCUGGGAAUUGCAUUGGAGACUGCAAGGCUAGAAUCUGGCAGAGGGGGGUAGAAUUCCACGUGUAGCAGUGAAAUGCGUAGAUAUGUGGAGGAACACCGAUGGCGAAGGCAGCCCCCUGGGUCAAGAUUGACGCUCAUGCACGAAAGCGUGGGGAGCAAACAGGAUUAGAUACCCUGGUAGUCCACGCCCUAAACGAUGUCUACUAGUUGUCGGGUCUUAAUUGACUUGGUAACGCAGCUAACGCGUGAAGUAGACCGCCUGGGGAGUACGGUCGCAAGAUUA